CCCGGUUGAUCCUGCCAGUAGUCAUAUGCCUGUCUCAUGCAUGCAGUAGUACUGUGAAACGGCGAAUGGCUCAUUAAAUCAGUUAUUUAUUUGAUUGCACCAUUACUACUUGGAUAACCGUAGUAAUUUUAAAGUUAAUACAUGCGAAAAGUCCCGAAUUCUGAAGGGAUGUAUUUAUUAGCUUUAAAACCAAUGCGGAUUCUGCCCGGUUCUUUGGUGAUUCAUAGUGAUUGAUCGAGUCGCACAGCCUUGCACUGGCGAUGUUUGAUUCAAAUUUCCGCCCUAUCAACUGUCGAUGGUAAGGUAGUAGCUUACCACAGUUGCCACGGGUGACGGAGAAUUAGGGUUCGAUUCCGGAGAGGGAGCCUGAGAAACGGCUACCACAUCCAAGGAAGGCAGCAGGCGCACAGAUUACCCAACCCUGACUUAGGGGAGGUAGUGACAAGAAAUAACAUUACAAGGCUUUUCCAAGUGUUGUAACUGGAAUGAGUACAACUUAAAUCCUUUAACGAGGAUCCAUUGGAGGGCACGUUUUGUGGCAGCAACCGCGGUAAUUCCAGCUCCAAUAGGGUAUAUUAAAAAUUGUUGCAGUUAAAAAGCUCUGCGACGUUUAUUUUAAAAAAGUUAGAGUGUUGAAAGCAAGCCAGUGCUUGAAAACAUAAGCAUAGAAUAAUGGAAUAGGACUUUGGUUCUAUAAUGGUGGUUUCUGGAACUGAAGUAAUGACUAAGAGAGACAGUUGUGGGCAUUGGUAUUUCUUUGUCAGAAGUGAAAUUCUUGGAUUUGCGAAAGACGAAUUUCUGCAAAAGCUUUUGCCAAGAAUGUUUUUAUUAAUCAAGAAAGAAAGUUAGGUUAGAGGAUCAAAGACGAUCAGAUACCGUCCUAGUGAUGAGCCAUAAACAUCUAACCAUAAACAAUGCCAACAAGGGAUCAGAGGGUGUUGUUGGAUGACCCCUUUGACAUCGUAUGGGAAACCAAAGUUUUUGGGUUUCGGGGAAGUAUGUUUGCAAAGCUGAAACUUAAAGGAAUUGAAGGAAGGGCACCUCCAGGAGUGGAGCUUGCGGCUGAAUUUGACUCAACACGGGGAUACACACCAGGUCCCGACAUAGUAAGGAUUGACAGAUAGAGAGCUCUUUCGUGAUUCUAUGGGUGGUGGUGCAUGGCUGUUCUUAGUUGGUGGAGUGAUUUGUCGCAGCAAAGGGAACGGAUUUUGUAAAAUC
RNAcentral lists this ribosomal RNA (1218 nucleotides) under Orbicella faveolata. RNAcentral's name for it is "SSU rRNA". It matches the Rfam family "Eukaryotic small subunit ribosomal RNA", at positions 1 to 1357 of the family's 1831-position model. The record is from RNAcentral. Lineage: Eukaryota; Metazoa; Cnidaria; Anthozoa; Scleractinia; Merulinidae.